GAGUGAGGAGUGCGUCCAGCUUUUUUCGUCACACAUGAAGCCACCCAUGCUCCACCCCUUUAUGCAUUAAUGAGUUCAUCGUGAAUAAGUGCAGGCGGGACUCUCAACAUGGCAACGCCCAGAAAAGGGGGUCAUUUUGGCCGUUCCGAA
This is a long non-coding RNA of Thalassophryne amazonica, 150 nucleotides long. RefSeq lists it as uncharacterized. The record is from RefSeq and is a predicted model, not a curated record. NCBI's taxonomy places the organism in Eukaryota, Metazoa, Chordata, Actinopteri, Batrachoidiformes, Batrachoididae. The transcript has 3 exons.